CAUGAGCAGCUUCCUGGCAAGAGUACUGGGAAACUAUAGCCUGAACUUUCCUCUUAACAGGGACCCUUUAUUUUUUCCGCACAGGAGCUUGGGAAUACAGCAGCAGGCUUUAAAGCUUGCCUGUCUUUCGCCUACGCUUCUGGAAUCCUCAAGUUGUGUUGACCCACCUGGGAACACUGCUGGUUCCAGAAUGCCAAGCUCCAGUAAUUGUAUAAAAUAAAAUUAAAAUACCAG
This 234-nucleotide long non-coding RNA is filed under the name Homo sapiens (human). Its description in RNAcentral is "non-protein coding lnc-TOX3-1:19". The record is from RNAcentral. Lineage: Eukaryota; Metazoa; Chordata; Mammalia; Primates; Hominidae.